Long non-coding RNA from Neofelis nebulosa (Clouded leopard), 659 nucleotides. RefSeq lists it as uncharacterized. The record is from RefSeq and is a predicted model, not a curated record. The transcript has 5 exons. NCBI's taxonomy places the organism in Eukaryota, Metazoa, Chordata, Mammalia, Carnivora, Felidae.
AAAGCAGAGGGCAGGGGACGACUCACAUCACCAUCAGGCAGCUCCAGAACGUUCCUUGGCUCCCACAUCAUUGAGUCAAUCUGCGGCCCAAUCCAGGACAACGGGAGCCCGUGGUCAGGAGACAAGGAAAGUUCUGGAAGUCUGGGGUGUCCUUUGCCUACACAGAUGCCUGCCCUGCACAAGUCCUAUCAGAGCCUUGCUACUCCGCUAACCUUUGAAAGCAUCCUCGUGCACAGUUAAUAAACAGGGAUGUUUCAGAUUUUAUUUUUAAGUAACCUCUACACCCAACAUGGGACUCGAACUCACAAGAGGUGAACUCAAGAGGUGCAUGGCUCUACCGACGAGACAGAUUUUAGCUGAACCCACGAUCAUCCAGAACAAAGCCAUUUUGCAACCUUGCCUGCAUCACAGCUGGACCGAAAAGAAGACUGGGAAGCAAGACAGAUGAAGCACAUCUCUUCCUACAGAACUCCUUUCUAUGUUUGUUGAUUUCACAUCAAUUACCAGCCUCCCUUUCCUCAUCUCCCAGUUCCCCACAGGAAUAUUUAUGUCUGUUUUAUUGUGUUUUUAUGUUUGCAAAUACAGUAAAACCUUGGAUUGUGAGUAACUUGUUCUUCAAAUGCUCUCCAAGACGAGCAAGCAUUUCUAAUAAAUUUUAA